GAUGAACGCUGGCGGCGUGCCUAAUACAUGCAAGUCGAGCGAACAGACGAGGAGCUUACUCCUCUGACGUUAGCGGCGGACGGGUGAGUAACACGUGGAUAACCUACCUAUAAGACUGGGAUAACUUCGGGAAACCGGAGCUAAUACCGGAUAACAUGUUGAACCGCAUGGUUCAACAGUGAAAGACGGUCUUGCUGUCACUUAUAGAUGGAUCCGCGUCGCAUUAGCUAGUUGGUAAGGUAACGGCUUACCAAGGCAACGAUGCGUAGCCGACCUGAGAGGGUGAUCGGCCACACGGGACUGAGACACGGUCCAGACUCCUACGGGAGGCAGCAGUAGGGAAUCUUCCGCAAUGGGCGAAAGCCUGACGGAGCAACGCCGCGUGAGUGAAGAAGGUCUUCGGACCGUAAAACUCUGUUAUUAGGGAAGAACGAAUGUGUAAGUAACUAUGCACGUCUUGACGGUACCUAAUCAGAAAGCCACGGCUAACUACGUG
This 496-nucleotide ribosomal RNA is filed under the name uncultured bacterium. Its description in RNAcentral is "partial 16S ribosomal RNA". It matches the Rfam family "Bacterial small subunit ribosomal RNA", at positions 28 to 507 of the family's 1533-position model. The record is from RNAcentral.